GAUGAACGCUGGCGGCGUGCCUAAUACAUGCAAGUCGAGCGAACGGACGAGAAGCUUGCUUCUCUGAUGUUAGCGGCGGACGGGUGAGUAACACGUGGAUAACCUACCUAUAAGACUGGGAUAACUUCGGGAAACCGGAGCUAAUACCGGAUGAUAUUUUGAACCGCAUGGUUCAAAAGUGAAAGACGGUCUUGCUGUCACUUAUAGAUGGAUCCGCGCUGCAUUAGCUAGUUGGUAAGGUAACGGCUUACCAAGGCAACGAUGCAUAGCCGACCUGAGAGGGUGAUCGGCCACACUGGAACUGAGACACGGUCCAGACUCCUACGGGAGGCAGCAGUAGGGAAUCUUCCGCUAUGGGCGAAAGCCUGACGGAGCAACGCCGCGUGAGUGAUGAAGGUCUUCGGAUCGUAAAACUCUGUUAUUAGGGAAGAACAUAUGUGUAAGUAACUGUGCACAUCUUGACGGUACCUAAUCAGAAAGCCACGGCUAACUACGUG
RNAcentral lists this ribosomal RNA (497 nucleotides) under uncultured bacterium. RNAcentral's name for it is "partial 16S ribosomal RNA". It matches the Rfam family "Bacterial small subunit ribosomal RNA", at positions 28 to 507 of the family's 1533-position model. The record is from RNAcentral.